GCUUUUGAUGGGCGUCGACCGGCGCACGGGUGAGUAACGCGUAUCCAACCUGCCCACCACUUGGGGAUAACCUUGCGAAAGUAGACUAAUACCCAAUGAUAUCUCUAGAAGACAUCUGAAAGGGAUUAAAGAUUUAUCGGUGAUGGAUGGGGAUGCGUCUGAUUAGCUUGUUGGCGGGGUAACGGCCCACCAAGGCAACGAUCAGUAGGGGUUCUGAGAGGAAGGUCCCCCACAUUGGAACUGAGACACGGUCCAAACUCCUACGGGAGGCAGCAGUGAGGAAUAUUGGUCAAUGGGCGAGAGCCUGAACCAGCCAAGUAGCGUGCAGAAUGACGGCCCUAUGGGUUGUAAACUGCUUUUAUAAGGGAAUAAAGUGAGUCUCGUGAGACUUUUUGCAUGUACCUUAUGAAUAAGGACCGGCUAAUUCCGUGCCAGCAGCCGCGGUAAUACGGAAGGUCCGGGCGUUAUCCGGAUUUAUUGGGUUUAAAGGGAGCGUAGGCCGGAGAUUAAGCGUGUUGCGAAAUGUAGACGCUCAACGUCUGCACUGCAGCGCGAACUGGUUUCCUUGAGUACGCACAAAGUGGGCGGAAUUCGUGGUGUAGCGGUGAAAUGCUUAGAUAUCACGAAGAACUCCGAUUGCGAAGGCAGCUCACUGGAGCGCAACUGACGCUGAAGCUCGAAAGUGCGGGUAUCGAACAGGAUUAGAUACCCUGGUAGUCCGCACGGUAAACGAUGGAUGCCCGCUGUUGGUCUGAAUAGGUCAGCGGCCAAGCGAAAGCAUUAAGCAUCCCACCUGGGGAGUACGCCGGCAAGGGUGCAACUCAAAGGAAUUGACGG
Molecule: ribosomal RNA, 837 nt
Filed under: uncultured Bacteroidota bacterium
Lineage: Bacteria; Pseudomonadati; Bacteroidota
Description: bacterial SSU rRNA
Rfam family: Bacterial small subunit ribosomal RNA
Source: RNAcentral